CAAUAGCGUAUAUUAAAGUUGUUGCAGUUAAAAAGCUCGUAGUUGGAUUUCUGGCUGGAGCGAUCGGUCCGCCCCGCAAGGGGUGUGUACUAGCGUCGUCUCCGACCAUCCUUGUGGGAACUGUGCGGCCGUUAACUCGGUUGUAUAUGGGAACACAUCGUUUACUGUGAAAAAUUAGAGUGUUUAAAGCAGGCUUAAGCCGUUGAAUACAUUAGCAUGGAAUAAUAAUAUAGGACUUUGGUUCUAUUUUGUUGGUUUCUAGGACUAAAGUAAUGAUUGAUAGGGAUAGUUGGGGGUGCUAGUAUUCAGCGGCCAGAGGUGAAAUUCUUGGAUUCGCUGAAGACUAACUUAUGCGAAAGCAUUCACCAAGGAUGUCUUCUUUAAUCAAGAACGAAAGUUGGGGGAUCGAAGACGAUUAGAUACCAU
Molecule: ribosomal RNA, 426 nt
Filed under: uncultured eukaryote
Lineage: Eukaryota
Description: bacterial SSU rRNA
Rfam family: Eukaryotic small subunit ribosomal RNA
Source: RNAcentral